AACAUUUCAGAAGUGACAGAAUUCGUUCUCGUGGGGUUAACAGAUGUCCUAGAGCUUCAGGUCCCUUUAUUUAUCAUCUUUACUGUCAUUUAUCUCACCACUCUGGUUGGGAACUUUGGGAUGAUCAUGUUGAUUCUGUUGGACUCCCGGCUCCACAUUCCCAUGUACUUUUUCCUUGGCAAACUCUCUCUGGUGGACAGUGUUUGUCCUGCUAGUCACUGGCUCCUACAUCUGUGGACUCUUUCAAUCCUCCAUCCAUGUUGCUUUUACUUUCCAUCUCUCCUUCUGUCAUUCUAAUGUGGUUAAUCACUUUUUUUGUGAUAUUCCACCACUCUUAGCUCUUUCUUGCUCUGAUAUUUACGCACAUGAGAUUGUGCUCUUCAUAUUGGCAGCAUUUAAUAUCUUUUUCACUCUCUUGAUUAUCUUGAACUCUUAUGUUUUUAUUUUUAUUGCUAUCCUGAGGAUGCAUUCAGCUGAGGGACAAAAGAAGGUCUUUUCCACCUGUGCCUAUCACCUCACUACUGUUUCCAUCUUCUAUGGGACAAUCACCUUUAUGUACUUACAGCCAAGUUCUGGUCAUUCCAUGGACACAGACAAAAUCUCAUCUGUGUUCUACACCAUGGUCAUCCCCAUGCUUAACCCUCUAGUCUAUAGCCUGAGGAACAAAGAAGUCCAGAGUGCAUUCAAGGUGGUUAUUGGAAAAGCAAAGUCUUCAUUGGGCUUAGCCUACUAUUUAUAA
RNAcentral lists this long non-coding RNA (739 nucleotides) under Homo sapiens (human). Its description in RNAcentral is "non-protein coding lnc-OR5B17-2:1". Lineage: Eukaryota; Metazoa; Chordata; Mammalia; Primates; Hominidae. The record is from RNAcentral.